Molecule: ribosomal RNA, 736 nt
Filed under: Amanita pantherina
Lineage: Eukaryota; Fungi; Basidiomycota; Agaricomycetes; Agaricales; Amanitaceae
Description: eukaryotic LSU rRNA
Rfam family: 5.8S ribosomal RNA (bases 221-374)
Source: RNAcentral
AGGAUCAUUAUUGAAAUAAAACUCAGGCAGGGGGGGAGUGUGGUUGUAGCUGGCCCCCYUUAUAAGGGCAUGUGCACACUGUCUCUUUCUCUUGCUUGUUUUUUCAUUUUUUCCACUUGUGCACUGCUUGUAGGCAGCCUGGCAUUGUUCGGGUUGUCUAUGAUUUUAUUUUACAUACAUGAAUCAUUGUUGUACAGAAUGUGAUAACAAAGAAUAAUACAACUUUCAACAACGGAUCUCUUGGCUCUCGCAUCGAUGAAGAACGCAGCGAAAUGCGAUAAGUAAUGUGAAUUGCAGAAUUCAGUGAAUCAUCGAAUCUUUGAACGCAUCUUGCGCUCCUUGGUAUUCCGAGGAGCAUGCCUGUUUGAGUGUCAUUAAAUUCUGUCAAAACAUGCAUUUGAGUGUGUUUUGGAUUGUGGGAGUGUUUGCUGGCUUUAUAUGAGUCAGCUCUCCUGAAAGACAUUAGCUUUGGAGGGAUGUGCCAAGUCACUUCUGUCUUUCCAUUGGUGUGAUAGAUGAAUAAAACUUAUCUACGCCAGGAAAGCAGGUUGCAGGUGAUGCACUGUGAUCUCUCUGCUCUCUAAUUGACAUUUGUCUGAUAACUUGACCUCAAAUCAGGUAGGACUACCCGCUGAACUUAAGCAUAUCAAUAAGCGGAGGAAAAGAAACUAACAAGGAUUCCCCUAGUAACUGCGAGUGAAGAGGGAAGAGCUCAAAUUUGAAAUCUGGCAGUGUU